Dermacentor andersoni is the source of this 3306-nucleotide long non-coding RNA. RefSeq lists it as uncharacterized. The record is from RefSeq and is a predicted model, not a curated record. Lineage: Eukaryota; Metazoa; Arthropoda; Arachnida; Ixodida; Ixodidae.
CUUGUCCCGUUUGAGCUACAGAUCGCUUCAGUUAAGUUCGUAACCUCGUUUGAACUGAAGGAACUUAGGUACUAUUGACCAAAAAAAUCUAGCCGUCCAUCAAUGACUUGCGCGUUUAAUGUGUAUCGCUCACUUAUGGUGUGCGCACGAUUGGGCACGACUCUUCACAGUCCAGCUUUUAAGUUUCACGUAAUUUUCUCACGAAGAGGCAAGGUGAUGCUUUGCAUGUAGUUCAAUAGACAGUGCACGAACUUCGAACUAUUCACUAUUUAUAGACAAUACCGUUUUCGCCGCAUCACUCCAUGACGCGGACGAAAACAGCGCACGGGGAGUAACUGUUGCCGUUCGUCCUCCCGUUGCUCUCUUUCCGACCAGGGACUAAACACUUACUCUCCGAAGUUUGCACACGGCACGCACAUUCAUGCAGUUAGUCCUCUGAGGGACGAAAGCGCCCUUUUUAGGACUAACGGCCCAGUUACUCCCGUUUUCCCGGGGAUUUUUCUUAGAGAUGUGCAAGCGCGCCACUUGCUGGACAUGUUCUCUAUAAGAUGAAGUAUUUAUUAGCCCUACUUUUGAGAAACGGUGUUUUAGACAAAUUUUGGGCACCAUCCCCCCUUAGAGAGGGCGGACGGUUUCGGCGAAAUUCUUGAUAGGACGACGGAAAUACGAGCAUAGCCCAACAAGGCUUCUUACGUCUGCGGUGGAAGACGGAACAGGAAAGUUCUGGACAGCGCGAAUCUUGUCAGGGUCAGGUUGAACGCCAGCAGCACUGGCGAGAUGGCCAAGAACGGUAAUUGGACGACGUACAAAGUGGCACAUGAAUGAGUUCAGUUGCAGGCCAGCGCAUCGGAAAACAGCAAGUCGGUAGACGCGUUAGAUGACUCGUGAAAGUUGGUGAAAACUCUAUGGCAUCGUCUCGAUAACACAGGCAUGUGGACCAUUUAUAGCCGCGAAGUAAGAAGUCCAUAGUUCUUUCGAAGGUUGCCGGCGCCCAACUAACCACGGGAACUGCCAGGUUCACACGUUCUUCACAUAAAACCUUAUGAGAAUCGUAUCUGUGGCCCUCGUUCGAGAUUCCUGAUAACAAACGAGAAAGCCAGACUUCAGUGCUUAUUUCAACCAACCUAAUGCCUAACUUCUUUUUUUUCUUUUUCCCGGGAACGCCACAGUUAUCGAGGGACCGAGAUGAAAAUGAUCAAACGGAUGAAAGCCACGUGGUGCGCUACUUGUUCCAGUACCAGCGCCUCUAAUGCAAAACGUGCUGGUCUACCGCUUCAACUAUGAAUUAAACCGAUUCAUGAAGUGGCAUUUAAAACGUAAAAAAAAGUACUAUCUAUGCGCAAAAAUAAAAUAUUUGCUUCUCCAAACGCGCUUCAGCAAGUCAAGUUUCUGCAAUGGUGACGGAUAACCACACCUAUUCUGCUCUGUAAGCAAUGAAUUACCCAAAAUAGUUUGUUUCCACGAACUUCCAAUCUCAAUGCUUAUCUGCGAAAAUCAGCGCGAGGACGAGCCACGAUCGCAGCAACACCGACCGCGCAUUUUGUAACUGACUCGUACAACAAACAAUACAAAUAAAUUCUGAGCGUAACGCGAAACCUUUGAAAUUAAAACAAGUAAGCGCUUAAUAACUAACAAACAAACAAAAAUUGCCUCGCGCUCUAUUUACAAGUCAAAUUUACGGAUGCGCCACCUCUUAAUGCGCACUCGAUUGGGCCACCGGCCUUCGGGCCUCGCCGAGGGCAACAAAGGACGUCAGCAGUGUACACUGUUGUCGCCUCCCACUUUGUGCGCCCGCGGCUUGCUUUCUUGUCCCUGAAGGGGAGGCCGUAAACGCGGGAAGAAUAGCCAGUCUCCCUUUGUCCUCUCUCUCGCGGCGCAUUCCACUGCAGUGACUGUCGGAUAUCUCAGCCCGGUUGAACCUUUCAGCCGCACUCGCAGAGACGCAACGGCCGCAACGAACCUUUUCAAGUUCUGCGCGGCGGCCUGUUCCUUUGUCUUACGGGCUGAGGUGUGGCGCCUUUCUCGACUUCUCGCCGUGCCGAACACUUCGCCCGUUUUAACUUGCACCGCCUCAAAACUUUUUGCCAUGCCAGGCGGUCACUGAAUGUGCCUUUGAAAAUCCCUGAGCGUCAGGUUCCUGCCCUGCUUCUCUCGAAGGUUGCAACGUGGGCUUGUUGGUAAUGCAUCUUCAAGGGGCAGGAAAGCGCUGUGUGUGUCGCUGUGUGUCUUGUUUCGUCCCGUCUUUUAAUCGCAGGCCACUUCCUCUCAAUAUGGAGCCUACUCAGCGAAUGCGGCGCCUUGCAUAUGCCAAGAGGCAUGCCAAGGCUACGAGUUCACUCCCCUUGACUGAACGCAUCGUAUACACGGACGCUGCACUGCCUGCAGACGACGCUAGUAACACCUGUUAUGCCACUGCGUGGUACGACCAGACAAAUGAAAAUCAGAACCGCCGCCAUCAUGUAUCAGCAGAAGCAAUGACCAGCACCCGCGAUCCCGUACUGCAGAAGAUCCGGCACCAGGCACGCCUGCUCCGCGAAUGCGGUCACGAUGUUACCAUCCACUGGGUCCCUGCGCACUGCGGUAUCCCCGGAAACGAGAAGGCUCAUAGACUGGCGCGCGCUCAUCUCUCUACCGCGCUAGCCAGAGCCUCCGAUACUCCUUAUCCUCUCCUAGCUACCACACCUGAGGUAGCACACCCGAUGGCAGACAAGCAUGCGACCAAACAACGACGUGCCGCCUACCUGACAGCAGUGGGCUCUAUACACUCUCUAUACCGUCUCUUCCACCCAAGGUAUUCACACGGCGAGAGUCAGUUUUGUUUCGGAGAAUUCAGACAGGCACCCUCCUUACUCCUCACUUGUUGAACCGUUUCCACAGGGGUGGCACACCACCACCCCAAAGUGGGUUCUGUUCCACGUGCAUAUGUGCUGAUCUCAACCACCUUUGUUGGGAGUGCCCCCUCUGCAUCCCACCAAGGCUUCGUGCCCUGGCCACCAUACAGCGGGGACCCUGGCCUUCUUCUCUCCGGACUUGGGCUUGCCCGGAUACCACGUCUCCGGACCAUGCCAUCGAGCUCUGGCGAGCGCUGCUGUUGUUCCUCCGGGACCCAGUGGCACCACCCGUCGGCGAUCGGCGCCGCGACAGCCACAAGCGUCAUGCGGCCCCCACUUAGCUGCCUCCAGGACGUUCGUUAAUAAAACGGAGGCAGCCUUACCCUUCCCCUUUUGCAAUAACACCCCUCCACUUUCCACUGCAGCGUCUUCGGCGCAUUUUAAUGUGGAAUAAACGUGGUUUCAUUCAUUCAUU